CCCUUAGAUGUUCUGGGCCGCACGCGCGCUACACUGAUGAAUGCAACGAGCUCUACCCUUGACCGAAAGGCCCGGGUAAACUUGUGAAACUUCAUCGUGAUGGGGAUAGAUUAUUGCAAUUAUUAAUCUUCAACGAGGAAUUCCUAGUAAGCGCGAGUCAUCAGCUCGCGUUGAUUACGUCCCUGCCCUUUGUACACACCGCCCGUCGCUCCUACCGAUUGAAUGGUCCGGUGAAAUCUCGGGACGGCGGCUUGGUCGCUUGCGUCCGACUGCUGAAACUUGAUUAAACCAUAUCAUUUAGAGGAAGGUGAAGUCGUAACA
Molecule: ribosomal RNA, 321 nt
Filed under: uncultured eukaryote
Lineage: Eukaryota
Description: partial 18S ribosomal RNA
Rfam family: Eukaryotic small subunit ribosomal RNA
Source: RNAcentral